GUACCUGUAGCUCAGUUGGUAGAGCACUGGAUUGAAGAUCCGGGUGUCGGGGGUUCAAAUCCCUUCGGGUACACCA
This 76-nucleotide transfer RNA is filed under the name Salmonella enterica subsp. enterica serovar Enteritidis. RNAcentral describes it as "tRNA-Phe". It matches the Rfam family "tRNA". From Rfam's summary of the family: Transfer RNA (tRNA) molecules are approximately 80 nucleotides in length. Lineage: Bacteria; Pseudomonadati; Pseudomonadota; Gammaproteobacteria; Enterobacterales; Enterobacteriaceae. The record is from RNAcentral.